CGAUGAAGGAGCUUGCUUCUGGAUUAGUGGCGAACGGGUGAGUAACACGUGAGUAACCUGCCCUUGACUCUGGGAUAAGCACUGGAAACGGUGUCUAAUACCGGAUACGAACCUCAGCCGCAUGGCUAGGGGUUGGAAAGAAUUUUGGUCAAGGAUGGACUCGCGGCCUAUCAGCUAGUUGGUGAGGUAACGGCCCACCAAGGCGACGACGGGUAGCCGGCCUGAGAGGGUGACCGGCCACACUGGGACUGAGACACGGCCCAGACUCCUACGGGAGGCAGCAGUGGGGAAUAUUGCACAAUGGGCGAAAGCCUGAUGCAGCAACGCCGCGUGAGGGACGACGGCCUUCGGGUUGUAAACCUCUUUUAGUAGGGAAGAAGCGAAAGUGACGGUACCUGCAGAAAAAGCACCGGCUAACUACGUGCCAGCAGCCGCGGUAAUACGUAGGGUGCAAGCGUUGUCCGGAAUUAUUGGGCGUAAAGAGCUCGUAGGCGGUUUGUCGCGUCUGCUGUGAAAACCCGAGGCUCAACCUCGGGCCUGCAGUGGGUACGGGCAGACUAGAGUGCGGUAGGGGAGAUUGGAAUUCCUGGUGUAGCGGUGGAAUGCGCAGAUAUCAGGAGGAACACCGAUGGCGAAGGCAGAUCUCUGGGCCGUAACUGACGCUGAGGAGCGAAAGCAUGGGGAG
RNAcentral lists this ribosomal RNA (685 nucleotides) under Microbacteriaceae bacterium N4_97_1. RNAcentral's name for it is "bacterial SSU rRNA". It matches the Rfam family "Bacterial small subunit ribosomal RNA", at positions 67 to 768 of the family's 1533-position model. Lineage: Bacteria; Bacillati; Actinomycetota; Actinomycetes; Micrococcales; Microbacteriaceae. The record is from RNAcentral.